Molecule: RNA transcript, 3940 nt
Organism: Brassica napus (rape)
Lineage: Eukaryota; Viridiplantae; Streptophyta; Magnoliopsida; Brassicales; Brassicaceae
Exons: 5
Source: RefSeq, a predicted model, not a curated record
ACUGUGCAUAAAUUUGAAAAUGAUACAUUUUCGUAAGUUCAAAAAUUUAAAGAAAAUAUGGUUACAACUUUUAUGUUGAUGAUGAAGUUGAAUACAGUUCAAGAAUAUAUUUGAAAUCAAUAAUGUAUAUAUACAAAUUUAAUUAUUACAUCUGAUAUUAUUUAUAAUAUUUGGAUUUCUUUUUUGUUAUCCACUUAAACAGAUUCACACUGACUUUGUAAACCACACUGAUAACUUUAUAUCCAUGUGAACUACGAAAGAAAGUGGUUUCCUGAAACUUCGUGCUACACUAUACGCCUUUGAAUUUUGCGUUCGUGGUGUAUGAAUGAUCUCUGAGCUGAGAAAACUUUUUUGGAGGGUCUUGAUGUCUUCCAAAUAACUUGCAAAAGCUGGUCAUUCUUCUAGUUCUGAAACCAUAUUCACCAAUUGUGAACAAUCCGUUGCAAACGUGAUCCAAAACUGACCUAAAUUCCUCAUACACUCCAUUUCCCAGAAUAGCGCCUCCAGCUCCGAAUGAAGAGGAGAGAGACUACCCCUGACAUUUCUUGCCCCCAUCAAACUAUCAAAUCCUUCUAGAGUACUAUAUCAACCUUGUCCUGAAAAAAAUUCAUUAUCUUUCCAAGAACCACAUGUAAAACACUGCCGCCCUAGAAUUGACGGUUGGUUCAUAACCUCUACAUUUUGUGUUGCCCUUUGUGUGUUCAACACUUGUGCUUCAGCCCAAAGUGUUGAUUAUGUUUCUGUAAAUUUGAGCGUUUCCCCUCGGAUUAAUGUCUAGAUUGCUGAAAACUUUGCUAUUUCUUUUUUUUUCAUAUGUACUAUAGUAUCCAUGUAAAUGAAUGAUCAUACAUUUGCGAGAGAACUCUCCAGAAUAAAUGAUCCAUAUUUGUGAAGAGAGAACUAGUAAAAAGAUUAGUUGGACUUGAUGGUAUCUGUGAGAGAGCCCAAACCUGAUGAGCUGGAGGGCAUUCAAAGAACACAUGGCUUAUCGAUUCAAAUAUUAUGUGUUGUGUCAGAUGCGGAGCUUCAGACCGCAUCUGACACAACACAUAAUAUUUGAAUUUAUACUCAAAAUGUAAAUGAAAUUAAAAGUUAAUACAUUAAAUUAAAAUUUGAGGUAAGCUUUAACGAGAUUUCUCAACUCGAACUAAAAACAAACACUACAAAAAUAAGAUCUAGUAUAUGGUAAGUUUACUACAUGUGUAUGAUUUAUUUAAUUAUUAUGUGUUCUGUAGGCGCACAAUGAUAUAAUAAUCUUAUAGUUAUUAAUUAAUACAUUUAUUACUAAUUUAAAAUUGCUAUAAUAAAUUAUUGUUUAAACUGUCAAAAGUUCAAACCAAACAUCGAGUUAUAUUUAUAUUACAAUUUUUUUUGAAAAUCUUUCAUGCAUUACUUUCAUUAAUAAUAAACAAAUGUUUUUAAUUAUAUAAAAUUAAAAUUUUACUUAAUAUUUAAUCAUGGCUCUUUUUGCUUCUAAAUUUUCAAUUUUUAUGAUUGAAAGAUACAACACUAUAUAAGAGUUAUCUUUAUAUUUUUAAAAUAUGUUUUCCUUUUUUCCAACUCUUAUUAUAUUAAUUUAUACAAAAUAAACUAAUCUAAAAUAAUAUAAUUAUACAUUAUAGAUAAGAAUGACUUUAGCCAAUUUUUGACGAGAGAUUUCAAAGAGAAAAUAUCACUUCGCAAAUGAUGGUGUAUAUCAUUUUAUGGUAUUAUUAGAAUAAAAUAUUUAUACUAAAACUUUAAUAUGAUUUUAUUUACUUUAUUAAUUUUUUUCAAAUUUUGCAUACAGUAGAUAUUUAAAAAAGGUUAAAAAUAGUAAAUUUAUCUAUAAAUAAAAAUAGAAGAUCACUGUCGGCUACUUAACUUAACUUGAUAUUCAGAGACUACGAGUGUAAUAGGAGCAUACGUCGACAAAAGAAUCACCUUAAAAUGAUCAUUUCAUGGCUAUUGAGAACGAAUCAAAUUAGAUUGUUCUAUUUCUCAAUCUUUAGGACGUGCUCCUAAGGAACCAAGGAUAUAUAUAUCAAUAUCAUAAAUUCAUCGAGCAUGAAAAAACCUAUUUUACGUUGUAAAUAAUUUACUAAUUAACUAAGUAUAGCUAUAAAAAUGAUAAUAAUGCUAAAAAGUAAAAGGUAAGAUGAGUUAAGGUUUCUUACUAUUGUUUGAUAAUUCACUACAAAAAAACAAUCACAUAACGACAACAGUUUACGAUGUGACAAUAUUAUCGUCAUACAUCUAGUUUACGAGAACAUUACGACAAAAUAUAAAAUCGACGUAAUGUAGUUGUAACUUCCCGAUGAAAAAAUUCAUCAUAAAAUAGACGUAAAUUAACGACCCUUUAAGGACGACUGUAACAUGUUAUCCUAAUAUAGUUGUUAAUUUACGACUACGUUACAUCGAAAUAGUUUGCAACUAAGUAACGACUAAUAUACGAGCAAAUAUAGGGGACCGCAGAUAUAGGUAGUUGGUGAGAACGUGUUUUAUGUCUGUAUCUAUGGUUGGUUAGGAAAAGAAAAAGAGAAAUGGUCUCAAAAAAGUUGUUAAAGCACUGUAAAUCAUAUGUUGUUGUAACUUUCCCACAUUCAAAAUUUUGAAAUUUUUUUGUUUGUUUUUAAACAGAGCUGGUUGGAAGAGAAACAUGAACAAUCCCCAUUAUGGUGCUACGUUCCUUGGUACUACAUCUGUACUGGAGGGAUCCAUCAGCUUAGACUUCUGGUACCGCAUCUGCACCGGAGUUUGUCCGUGAGGGCCAGACUCAGGCUAUGCCUCCUCUUCCUCCGCCUCCGUAUGUGCCUCCCCCUCUGUAUAAGCCUCCUCCACAUCAUCCUCUGCAGACACCUCCAGUUCAUGAUGCUCCUCCUUCUCAUGAGCCUGCUCCCGGACAUACAUCCGGCUUUGAUGGUGCCAUCCGAUGCUCCCUAUGCUCAGUACUGCAAAAAUCUCCUCCGACAGCCUGGCCGAAAAGAUCGACCGCCUAACACUUAUUGGUUCAAGACAGACAAUGUUCUAGAACGAAGCGUUUCAGACACCAUCAAGGGUCUCAUACACCGGACCACAUUCGGACAAGUUUUUUGCGAAAAAAUGGCAUUGGUCUAUUGGCGUCAACAAGCGGUGAAGAAGGCGUUAAAUGAUAAGGCAAAGCUUCGCCUCAAAAACAUUAUUUCCUACUGGAAUGAGAAGUGGCUGGAAAUUGGAAAUGAUGCAAAGCCCAUCUACAUCUCCGAUAACGUUUGGAGCAGCCCGGAUGACGAUUGAUGCCGGCGGCAAUUUACCGACGGCCUACACUUCUGGACAAAUCCUACAUGACGGGGCCGCUCGGGAAGAAGAACCACCAUCUCUUAUCCGACUUUUCAAGACGACACGCCAGCACUAGGAUGGGACGUUUGUGGAUCCUAUAUCAGAAAGGAUCCACAACGAUGUGGAGUGUCAGAUUCAAGAUGUUCAAACCCAGUUGUCGCAACAAACUGUGGAUGGCAUACCUGUCCAGUUGUCCACACGAGAAUAGGACAAGAUUUUUGAACAGGUUGUCCCGAAGAAAAGGAAACGGAUGGUCGGGAUUGGUUCAGUGAACAAUGUCCUGAAGGCAACAUCAAUCUACGGUGCUGCAAGUCAAGCAGCUUCUCAGUUCCGGACAGAUUUGACCGGAGCCCACAACCUCAUAUCGGAGCUCCGGGAGGAUCAACAAGAGACUAGGAGUCAGUUAGAGGGCCAUGGCAGGGAUGUUUGAUCUCAUUGCGGAAACGAACCCAGCGCUUUCACGGAAGUGGUAGACUGUACGUCCAACAGUACACCACAAACCCACUACAGAAAAGGAGCGAAGUUGGAGCGACGGGGCGACGACCACAGUUCCCAGAAUUUUAACCUUUAGGAUAUAGAUAUUUUUUUUCUGUUUGUAUUUUGGAUAUUACAAUAAUCUUAUAUAUUAUAUUUUUAAUUUAAA